Long non-coding RNA from Mizuhopecten yessoensis (Yesso scallop), 559 nucleotides. RefSeq lists it as uncharacterized. Lineage: Eukaryota; Metazoa; Mollusca; Bivalvia; Pectinida; Pectinidae. The record is from RefSeq and is a predicted model, not a curated record. The transcript has 3 exons.
GUAACGUACCCAUCAGUAGACAGUAACGUAGGUAUAGAGAUGUAACGUACCCAUCAGUAGACAGUAAUGUAGGUAUAGAGAUGUAACAUACACAUCAGUAGACAGUAAUGUAGGUAUAGAGAUGCAACAUACCCAUCAGUAGACAGUAAUGAAGGUAUUGAGAUGUAACGUACCCAUCAGUAGACAGUAAUGUAGGUAUAGAGAUGUAAUAUACCCAUCAGUAGACAGUAAUGUAGGUAUAGAGAUGUAACGUACCCAUCAGUAGACAGUAAUGUAGGUAUAGAGAUGUAACGUACCCAUCAGUAGACAGUAAUGUAGGUAUAGAGAUGUAACAUACCCAUCAGUAGACAGUAAUGUAGGUAUAGAGAUGUAAUAUACCCAUCAGUAGUCAAUAAUGUAGGUAUAGAGAUGUAACAUACACAUCAGUAGUCAGUAAUGUAGGUAUAGAGAUGUAACGUACCCAUCAGUAGUCAAUAAUGUAGGUAUAGUGAUGUAACACUUAGUCAAACAGACCAUUGGACUUAUAGUAGGAUGUUGAAGUAGUAACUGUCAGUAGAGC